GAUCCUGGCUCAUGAUGAACGCUGGCGGCGUGCUUAACACAUGCAAGUCGAGCGAAGCACUUAGGAAAGAUUCUUCGGAUGAUUUCCUAUUUGACUGAGCGGCGGACGGGUGAGUAACGCGUGGGUAACCUGCCUCAUACAGGGGGAUAACAGUUAGAAAUGACUGCUAAUACCGCAUAAGACCACAGCACCGCAUGGUGCAGGGUAAAAACUCCGGUGGUAUGAGAUGGACCCGUCG
This 238-nucleotide ribosomal RNA is filed under the name uncultured bacterium. RNAcentral's name for it is "partial 16S ribosomal RNA". It matches the Rfam family "Bacterial small subunit ribosomal RNA", at positions 15 to 235 of the family's 1533-position model. The record is from RNAcentral.